This 515-nucleotide ribosomal RNA is filed under the name uncultured Bacillota bacterium. Its description in RNAcentral is "bacterial SSU rRNA". It matches the Rfam family "Bacterial small subunit ribosomal RNA", at positions 8 to 524 of the family's 1533-position model. Lineage: Bacteria; Bacillati; Bacillota. The record is from RNAcentral.
AGAGUUUGAUCCUGGCUCAGGAUGAACGCUGGCGGCGUGCCUAACACAUGCAAGUCGAGCGAGACGGCUAACAUUGAAUCUUCGGAUGAUUUGUUAGCUAGACAGCGGCGGACGGGUGAGUAACGCGUGGGUAACCUACCUUAUGGAGGGGGAUAACAUUCUGAAAAGAAUGCUAAUACCGCAUAAGCGCACAGUAUCGCAUGAUACAGUGUGAAAAACUCCGGUGCCAUAAGAUGGACCCGCGUCUGAUUAGCUAGUUGGUGAGAUAAAAGCUCACCAAGGCGACGAUCAGUAGCCGACCUGAGAGGGUGAACGGCCACAUUGGGACUGAGACACGGCCCAAACUCCUACGGGAGGCAGCAGUGGGGAAUAUUGCACAAUGGAGGAAACUCUGAUGCAGCGACGCCGCGUGAAGGAUGAAGGUUUUCGGAUCGUAAACUUCUAUCAGCAGGGAAGAUAGUGACUGUACCUGACUAAGAAGCCCCGGCUAACUACGUGCCAGCAGCCGCGGUAAU